This 506-nucleotide long non-coding RNA is filed under the name Androctonus crassicauda. Lineage: Eukaryota; Metazoa; Arthropoda; Arachnida; Scorpiones; Buthidae. The record is from RNAcentral.
CAUUGGUUUAUCGUAAACCCUCUUACGAGCCAAUCAUAAUUCCAAGAUGGUCACCAGACUCCAUCUCUAUAAAAAGUCAGUAUUCUGUUUUUAUUUUAAAAGAGCUAUUACUUACGUUACUAGCCAGGAAGACCUGAAGUUAGAGAUUGAUUAUAUUUAUAAUGUCGGAAGAUUGUAUGAUUAUAGUAGAAUCUUCCUAGAUGCGCUGUAUUCUAAAGUACAACGAGUAACCCCCCGCAGGUUCCUGAAAAGCUAGAGCAAGCAGAGUAUGAGCCAAUACCGUGUGCCAUGUCCAACUAUAAGACAGUUAAGAAGCUUAUUAAGAAAGGAAGUAAGAAGAUAAGUUAUAAAAGACAUCCCACCGUAUAUAAUCUACUUAGAAAUGAAAAAGAUAAAAGGAAGGAUGAAAAAAAAAUGUCUGGAGUGUGUGGGAUUUCGACAAUGAAUUGCGCAGGAAGCGGGGAAGAGGCUUGUAUAGGAGUUGCAGCGAGACCAUUAGAGCUGGG